Ostrea edulis (European flat oyster) is the source of this 1966-nucleotide long non-coding RNA. RefSeq lists it as uncharacterized. The record is from RefSeq and is a predicted model, not a curated record. Lineage: Eukaryota; Metazoa; Mollusca; Bivalvia; Ostreida; Ostreidae. The transcript has 2 exons.
UUGCAGGGAAGUCUGAUAAAUAAUGUAUUUGGAUAAGGUUUGCUUUUGAUUUAUAUUUCACAUUUAUAUGUAGGUAUUUGCAGACGAAUUGUGGAAUCUUAUCAUGUUUGUGAAAUAAAGUGAGAAAUUGAAUAUUGACUUUUAAAAGACACAGAAAUACAGAAUUGAUAUGUACAAAGAAGUUGCUAUAAAUUAAUGAUCUUAUAUGUGAUGAAAAUUAUCCAUAAAUUAUAUAUAACCAAUUAAAAAAAACCUCCCAAAGCUUCAAUUUGAAUUUACCGCCGGAAACAACAUUCUGAUUGGCUAACAUGGACGCCAAUGUCGCUGAUAAAUGCAGUCUGAAAUACAAGAUAUAAAAUUAGCCAUAGCUCAUUCAAUUCUCCUUCAAUAUGAAUGACACUUUGGAUAUAUGUAUUUACAGGCAUGAACUAUCAUCCUAGAGGUGUUUUUUGAUAAUACAUUGGUGUUUUCGAUACUUUUAUUGGUGUUUUCGGGAAUUACCUGGUGUUUACGGUGUUUCUGGUAAUUCCACGGACCCGGAGUUAUGGUCAUUAAACCGACUAAUAUGAAGCGUAAAUUUAUACGAGUUAUUUCCCAUGUUUUAUAUAUCGUAUUCAUGGUAUUGAUUUAUACAAUAUAAUGUGAUAAAUAGAUAAAAUAAAAUAUUUGUCCUGAUUCGAAUUUUAUAUUGCCAGUUGGAAUUUACUGGCUAUUUAUAGUUCACUUACUGAGUACCUGUCAGUAAAGGGAAGUAACUCAGAUUCACACGUCACAAUAAUCAGUUUUAUGGAAACAAUUCCUUCAAAUCGUUACCAAUCUUCAUGAAAUUUGAUGUGUGACUAGAUGGUAUAUAGAUGAACAUAUACUGAGGUAAUUUCUGUCCCUUUAAUGGUCAUUUCGGUAAUUUCUUUGGUAAUUUCGGUGAUUAGCGGUAAUUUUGGUGAUUCUAUGCACUCUAUUGCUAAUGGUCAGCAAAAAUUUGAAUGUCAACUGUUGUCGAGGUACAUGGGAGAUACAGAGCUCACUCAUGUAAACACUUGGCUCGUGCCAUGUGUUUGUUUUACAUAGGUUAAGUGAUGGGCAAUCGGGGAAAAAAUAAUAAUCGAUGAUCGGAUUAAUCGGAUGCACCUUUUUGAUUGAUUAAUCGAAAAAUAAUCGAAUUUUAUUCAUUUCAAAUUUAUGGCAUAAGUAUAUCAAAUUUACUUUAUUUUUUACCCUAAAUAUUAAGUUAAUUAGAACUAGUUCUAAUUGUAACGGGGACCGUUACAUAUGUUCCCCAAACCUCCCCCAAUUAAAAAGUGAUGUCAUUGUAAACCUAUAGCAAAAAUUCAUUUUUAUCUUAGUCUUUAAUUACACGUAGUGCGUUUAAUAUGGUCAUUUCAGUACCAAGAAAUGAAAGAAAGUAAUGCACGUGCAUAUACGCGCACACGUGUAUGAUUCUGCACUUUUGUUGAUGUCAUUCAACAGCAGGGCUCGCGCUGCCCAUGGCAUUUGUCGCAUUUUGCGAUUUUUCAGAAAAAAAUGCGACACGGACAUUUCGUAUUUUAGUAUUCGCGCGCCAUUUUGAAUUUCAGCUGUUUGCAUCCAAACAGCCUUAGGGCUGUUUUACCUUACCUGUGCAGAAUGUGGAUACCCUGUCGCAUGGGAACAAUAAGACUUAGGGGCGUCUUGUUUAUUUAGCAGUUUACACGAAACAAAGGGUUGAUCCUCUAUGUGCAGACUUCAUGAAGUCCCUUCUCCUCUACAUGAUGAGAUUCACCAAAGGACCACUUUGUCAUUCUGGAUUUCAAGAUGAAAACAGGAUUAUUCAGUGAAAAUGUGAUGUGAAACUAUGAUCAUGUGUUAUGUAUUACAGUAAUCAAUUUUCAGUAACUUUGUCAUCAGUGACUUUUUCUAGACUGCAAAUUUAAUGAGUAAUAUAUGUCAUUUACACUACUAAAAUGAUUAAUAAACAUUUAGAAACUCA